RNAcentral lists this ribosomal RNA (419 nucleotides) under uncultured bacterium. Its description in RNAcentral is "partial 16S ribosomal RNA". It matches the Rfam family "Bacterial small subunit ribosomal RNA", at positions 360 to 776 of the family's 1533-position model. The record is from RNAcentral.
AAUAUUGGUCAAUGGAGGCAACUCUGAACCAGCCACGCCGCGUGAAGGAUGACGGCCCUACGGGUUGUAAACUUCUUUUAUACUGGAAUAAAGUGAGUCACGUGUGACUUUAUGCAUGUACUGUACGAAUAAGGACCCGUCAACUCCGCGCCCGCAGCCGCGGUAAUACGGAGGAUCCAAGCGUUAUCCGGAUUUAUUGGGUUUAAAGGGUGCGCAGGCGGAAGAUUGAGUCGGCGGUGAAAUUUUGCAGCUCAACUGUAAAAGUGCCAUCGAUACUGGUUUUCUUGAGUGUGGAUGAAGUAGGCGGAAUUUGUGGUGUAGCGGUGAAAUGCAUAGAUAUCACGAGGAACUCCGAUUGCGCAGGCAGCUUACUAGGCCAUAACUGACGCUCAGGCACGAAGGCGUGGGGAUCAAACAGG